UACAGAGGUCUCAAGCGUUGUUCGGAAUUACUGGGCGUAAAGGGUGCGCAGGCCGCGCGGGCAGUCAAAUGUGUAAUUCAGGGGCUCAACCCCUGGACUGCGCUUGAUACUUCCGCGCUUGAACCUUGGAGAGGAGUCUGGAAUUCUCGGUGUAGCAGUGAAAUGCGUGGAUAUCGAGAAGAACACUAAGGGCGAAGGCAAGACUCUAGACAAGUGUUGACGCUCAUGCACGAAGGCUAGGGUAGCGAACGGG
RNAcentral lists this ribosomal RNA (253 nucleotides) under uncultured bacterium. RNAcentral's name for it is "partial 16S ribosomal RNA". It matches the Rfam family "Bacterial small subunit ribosomal RNA", at positions 524 to 776 of the family's 1533-position model. The record is from RNAcentral.